RNAcentral lists this ribosomal RNA (591 nucleotides) under Triticum aestivum (bread wheat). Its description in RNAcentral is "partial small subunit ribosomal RNA". Lineage: Eukaryota; Viridiplantae; Streptophyta; Magnoliopsida; Poales; Poaceae. The record is from RNAcentral.
AUGUUCCGGGCGGCCUCCCAAGCCGGGAUCCUCAAGCCCAUUAGGGCGCGGACGGCCUCCUGCAGGGUUUCUCUCUAUGCAGACGAUGCUGGCAUUUUCGCCAACCCGGUCAAAGACGAGAUCGACGCAAUCGCUAAGAUCCUUGCCUGUUUUGGGGAUGCAUCGGGACUCAUCACAAACGUCAGCAAAACUGAGGUGUUCCCCAUUCGCUGCCAGGACAUCGAUCUCCAGGCAAUCCUCUCGGGCUUCCCGGCCAAGCUGGCCUCGUUCCCUGGUCGAUACCUUGGUCUCCCUCUGCAUACCAGGCGGCUCAGAAGGGUUGACCUCCAACCUCUUCUUGACAAGGCCAUGGGCAGGUUGCCAGGCUGGAAGGGAAAGAACCUGGCGCGACCGGGCAGGAUCUCCCUCGCAAAAUCCAUGCUAUGCGCCAUCGCAAAUCAUCACCUCAUAGCUUUUGCGCUUCCAGCUUGGGCAAUCCAGAAGCUCGGUAAGAUCACUCUAACUUCAUCUGGUGUGGGGAAGACGCAGAAAACACAUCUGGCGGACAUUCUCUGGUCAACUGGAAGACUGUUUGCCGGCCUAAGCCCAUAG